RNAcentral lists this long non-coding RNA (263 nucleotides) under Mytilus galloprovincialis (Mediterranean mussel). Lineage: Eukaryota; Metazoa; Mollusca; Bivalvia; Mytilida; Mytilidae. The record is from RNAcentral.
GUUUGUUUAUAGUUAACACGUGUUUGGUUAAUUAUAGUAAGGUAGGUUCGAUUGGGAUAUUGAGUUCAUGCACGACUGAACUCAUGUGGUUUAAAGUCAUUCGAGCCAUUGCAGUCAAAGUGUACAGUAGCAUUUUGCAAAAUAAAUAAUAUUAUUAAUCAUAUUAUUUAUUUUCAGAUUUGUGGACCACAAGUAUGGGGAACCAGUACAGGCUGCUUAAUAGCUAUAUAUUUAUAUGAACUUUCAACAAUAUUAUACUCAUA